RNAcentral lists this long non-coding RNA (362 nucleotides) under Panax ginseng (ginseng). RNAcentral's name for it is "long non-coding RNA (PGIN_LNC013085)". Lineage: Eukaryota; Viridiplantae; Streptophyta; Magnoliopsida; Apiales; Araliaceae. The record is from RNAcentral.
UACUUUCCCAAGCAAACAUAUCAACUCUGAAAUUAUCUCCAUGAACUUCACAAACAUAAAUAAAUAACCCAACUAAAUAAAGCCCAAUUUACAAAAUAGAACUAAGCCAUAAAAAACAGCAUUUCCACAAUUUAGGUCAAGGAAUUACGAGUGGUUUCCCAAUUAACAGGUAGAUAAAGCACAAAUUGCAAAUUGAUUAUAAAAAUAUGUAUGUAUGUGUGUGGAUGACUAACCGAGAUCGGAAGUAUGGAAGAAUAUUGGAGCCUUGAUUUGGAAAAUAAUGAGGGCAUGAGUUUGAUGGCGCUGCGCCGCUGCCGGAAAUCAGGCGGUAGGGGAGAAAUAGAGAGACUGAAAGAAAAGAG